Molecule: ribosomal RNA, 403 nt
Filed under: uncultured bacterium
Lineage: Bacteria
Description: partial 16S ribosomal RNA
Rfam family: Bacterial small subunit ribosomal RNA
Source: RNAcentral
GACGAACGCUGGCGGCGUGCCUAAUACAUGCAAGUCGAACGCAGUGGGGACGGGUGAGUAAAAAGUGGGUAACCUCGCAUCAGAGGGGAUAACACUUGGAAACAGGUGCUAAACCGAUACUGAUGGAUGGACCCGGGGGGCAUUAGCUAGAUGGGGGGGUAACGGCUCACCAAGGCCACGAUGACUAGCCCGCCUGGGAGGUUGAUCGUCCACACUGGUACUGAGCCACGGCCCAGACUCCUACGGGAGGCAGCAGUAGGGAAUCUUCGGCAAUGGACGAAAGUCUUACCGAGCAACGCCGCAUGAGUGAAGAAGGUUUUCGGAUCGUAAAGCUCUGUUGUUAGAGAAGCGGUAUCUAACCAAAAAGCCACGGCUAACUACGUGCCAGCAGCCGCGGUAAUUC